GACUCCUACGGGAGGCAGCAGUGGGGAAUUUUGGACAAUGGGGGAAACCCUGAUCCAGCAAUGCCGCGUGUGUGAAGAAGGCCUUCGGGUUGUAAAGCACUUUUGUCCGGAAAGAAAUCCUUUGGGCUAAUACCCCGGGGGGAUGACGGUACCGGAAGAAUAAGCACCGGCUAACUACGUGCCAGCAGCCGCGGUAAUACGUAGGGUGCGAGCGUUAAUCGGAAUUACUGGGCGUAAAGCGUGCGCAGGCGGUUCGCUAAGACCGAUGUGAAAUCCCCGGGCUUAACCUGGGAACUGCAUUGGUGACUGGCGGGCUAGAGUAUGGCAGAGGGGGGUAGAAUUCCACGUGUAGCAGUGAAAUGCGUAGAGAUGUGGAGGAAUACCGAUGGCGAAGGCAGCCCCCUGGGCCAAUACUGACGCUCAUGCACGAAAGCGUGGGGAGCAAACAGGAUUAGAUACCCUGGUAGUCCACGCCCUAAACGAUGUCAACUAGUUGUUGGGGAUUCAUUUCCUUAGUAACGUAGCUAACGCGUGAAGUUGACCGCCUGGGGAGUACGGUCGCAAGAUUAAAACUCAAAUGAAUUGACGGGGA
Molecule: ribosomal RNA, 592 nt
Filed under: uncultured Burkholderia sp.
Lineage: Bacteria; Pseudomonadati; Pseudomonadota; Betaproteobacteria; Burkholderiales; Burkholderiaceae
Description: bacterial SSU rRNA
Rfam family: Bacterial small subunit ribosomal RNA
Source: RNAcentral